AGCGGCGGACGGGUGAGUAACGCGUGGGUAACCUGCCCUGUACACACGGAUAACAUACCGAAAGGUAUGCUAAUACGGGAUAAUAUGCUUUUAUCGCAUGGUAGAAGUAUCAAAGCUCCGGCGGUACAGGAUGGACCCGCGUCUGAUUAGCUAGUUGGUAAGGUAACGGCUUACCAAGGCGACGAUCAGUAGCCGACCUGAGAGGGUGAUCGGCCACAUUGGAACUGAGACACGGUCCAAACUCCUACGGGAGGCAGCAGUGGGGAAUAUUGCACAAUGGGCGAAAGCCUGAUGCAGCAACGCCGCGUGAGCGAUGAAGGCCUUCGGGUCGUAAAGCCCUGUCCUCAAGGAAGAUAAUGACGGUACUUGAGGAGGAAGCCCCGGCUAACUACGUGCCAGCAGCCGCGGUAAUACGUAGGGGGCUAGCGUUAUCCGGAAUUACUGGGCGUAAAGGGUGCGUAGGUGGUUUCUUAAGUCAGAGGUGAAAGGCUACGGCUCAACCGUAGUAAGCCUUUGAAACUGGGAAACUUGAGUGCAGGAGAGGAGAGUGGAAUUCCUAGUGUAGCGGUGAAAUGCGUAGAUAUUAGGAGGAACACCAGUUGCGAAGGCGGCUCUCUGGACUGUAACUGACACUGAGGCACGAAAGCGUGGGGAGCAAACAGGAUUAGAUACCCUGGUAGUCCACGCCGUAAACGAUGAGUACUAGCUGU
This 710-nucleotide ribosomal RNA is filed under the name uncultured bacterium. Its description in RNAcentral is "bacterial SSU rRNA". It matches the Rfam family "Bacterial small subunit ribosomal RNA", at positions 94 to 823 of the family's 1533-position model. The record is from RNAcentral.